CAGAGAGUAGUUUAAGUUAAAAUGCUAGCUUUGGGGGUUAGUGAUGGAGGUUAAAUUCCUCUCUUUUUGA
This 70-nucleotide transfer RNA is filed under the name Gazza minuta (toothpony). RNAcentral's name for it is "tRNA-Pro". It matches the Rfam family "tRNA". From Rfam's summary of the family: Transfer RNA (tRNA) molecules are approximately 80 nucleotides in length. Their secondary structure includes four short double-helical elements and three loops (D, anti-codon, and T loops). Further hydrogen bonds mediate the characteristic L-shaped molecular structure. tRNAs have two regions of fundamental functional importance: the anti-codon, which is responsible for specific mRNA codon recognition, and the 3' end, to which the tRNAs corresponding amino acid is attached (by aminoacyl-tRNA synthetases). tRNAs cope with the degeneracy of the genetic code in two manners: having more than one tRNA (with a specific anti-codon) for a particular amino acid; and 'wobble' base-pairing, i.e. permitting non-standard base-pairing at the 3rd anti-codon position. Lineage: Eukaryota; Metazoa; Chordata; Actinopteri; Chaetodontiformes; Leiognathidae. The record is from RNAcentral.